UCGUUGUAGCAAUACGAUGGAAAGUCUAGUGGCGAACGGGUGCUUAACACGUGGGCAACCUGCCAGGAAGUGGGGGAUAGCUCGCCGAAAGGCGAAUUAAUACCGCAUGUGAUUAGAGAGGACAUCCUUUCGAAAUUAAAGUCGGGGCAACCUGACGCUUCUUGUGGGGCCCGCGGCCUAUCAGCUAGUUGGUGAGGUAAAGGCUCACCAAGGCUUUGACGGGUAGCUGGUCUGAGAGGACGACCAGCCACACUGGGACUGAGACACGGCCCAGACACCUACGGGUGGCAGCAGUCGAGAAUUUUUGACAAUGGGGGAAACCCUGAUCGAGCGACGCCGCGUGGAGGAUGAAGGUCUUCGGAUUGUAAACUCCUGUCAUUGGGGAACAAGGUGCAUACGUUAACUGCGUGUGCAUUGAUAGUACCCGAAGAGGAAGAGACGGCUAACUCUGUGCCAGCAGCCGCGGUAAUACAGAGGUCUCAAGCGUUGUUCGGAUUCAUUGGGCGUAAAGGGUGCGUAGGCGGCGCGGUAAGUCGGGUGUGAAAUCUCGGAGCUUAACUCCGAACUGCAUUCGAUACUGCCGUGCUUGAGGACUGGAGAGGAGACUGGAAUUCUCGGUGUAGCA
Molecule: ribosomal RNA, 625 nt
Filed under: uncultured Verrucomicrobiota bacterium
Lineage: Bacteria; Pseudomonadati; Verrucomicrobiota
Description: bacterial SSU rRNA
Rfam family: Bacterial small subunit ribosomal RNA
Source: RNAcentral